This 1547-nucleotide long non-coding RNA is filed under the name Homo sapiens (human). Its description in RNAcentral is "non-protein coding lnc-ZNF592-6:2". The record is from RNAcentral. Lineage: Eukaryota; Metazoa; Chordata; Mammalia; Primates; Hominidae.
AGUGGAUGUGUCGUCUGACCGUAGGUUCUCUGGUCGAGCAAGUCUCCUGCGCUAUGGGAAGCUGAGGAGGUGCUUUCUUUCUUUCUGUCUCUGUCUCUCUUUCUUUACGUCUCUGUCUCUGUUGAGGUGCUUGCUUGCUUGCUUGCUUACUUUCUGUCUGUCUGUCUCUUUCUCUUUUUCUUUCUCUUUCUCUCUUUCCUUUCUUUCUCACUGUGUCGCCCAGGCUGGAGUGCAGUGGCGCAAUCUCAGCUCACUGCAACCUCCGCCUCGCGGGUUCAGGCGAUUCUCCUGCCUCAGGCUCCCAAGUAGCUGGGACUACAGGCGCGCGCCACCAAACCUGGCUAAUUUUUGUAUUUUUAGUAGAGACAGGGUUUCACUAUGUUGGCCAGGCUGGUCUCGAACUCUUGAGCUCAGGUGAUCCGCCCGCCUUGGCGUCCCAAAGUGCUGGGAUUACAGUCGUGAGCCACCGCGCCCGGCCAUCGAGGUGCUUUCAAUAAGUGCUUUUCGCGUAAGGUUGGACCGUGUGAGAGACCUUCCGAGCACUGCCUGAGCCUGCCAGGAGUUUACAGUCCAAUUGGAGAGAAAACAGCCCGGGAGAAUUAGAAAACAUCCAAAUGGUGCAACAGCGUGAUGAGACCACCAGUGGUGUGGGUCGUUAGGAAGUGGCUUCCUUUCUGACCUUGACUUUGCUGACAGGAUUUGACAUGGUCUCCUUGAAUUCUACCUCCUGGUUUUCUUAACUUGGACACCUUGAAGUGACUAUCUUUUCGCUACCUUUUGCUUUGACUGGCCAAAGCUCCUAAUACGCACUUCAGUCAACAAAGACUAAAGCUGGAUUACUUGGUAUCAUUUCUCUCUCUUUUUUUUUUUUUUUUUUUUUUUUCAAAAUAAUCCUUCUCUCCCAUUAGGGAAAGAUGAAUGAAGGAUAUACUGGAACUCUUUGUAGUAUCCUCGAAAUUCUUUAAAUGGAAAGUCAUUCCAAAAUAAAAACUUGAAUUUAUUGGAGGAUGGCUGCAGAGUUUGCGGUGAGCCGAGAUCGUGCCACUGCACUCCAACCUGGGCGACAAAGUGAGACCCUAUCUCAAAACACACAAACAAAAAAAGGUUAAAGAUGGAAUCACCAUAUUAACCAGCAAUUCCACUGCUAGGUAUAUACCCAAGAAAAUUGAAAACGUUUGUCCACACAAAAACUUGUACAUGAAUGUUCACAGCAGCAUUAUUCAUAAUAGCUAAAAAGUGGAAAUAACUGAAAUGUUUAUCAACUAAUGAAGGGAUAAAUAAAUGUGGUAUAUUGGAAUAAUGUACUAAUAAUUCCGCUGGUACAAUGGAAUAUUAAUCUGGCAACAAAAGGAAAUACUACAACAUGAAUGACCCUUGAAACAGAUUUAGUGAAAGGAUCCAGUCACAAAAGACAAAGCAUUGCAUGAUUCCAUUUAGGUGAAAUAUCUAGAAUAGACAAAUCCACAGAGAUGGAAAUCAGUGGUUGCCUAGGGCUGGGAGAGUUGGGGAAAAUGGGGAGUGGCUGCUAAUGGGUAUGGAGUUUCUUU